This 410-nucleotide ribosomal RNA is filed under the name Enterobacter hormaechei subsp. xiangfangensis. RNAcentral describes it as "bacterial SSU rRNA". It matches the Rfam family "Bacterial small subunit ribosomal RNA", at positions 1 to 407 of the family's 1533-position model. Lineage: Bacteria; Pseudomonadati; Pseudomonadota; Gammaproteobacteria; Enterobacterales; Enterobacteriaceae. The record is from RNAcentral.
AAAUUGAAGAGUUUGAUCAUGGCUCAGAUUGAACGCUGGCGGCAGGCCUAACACAUGCAAGUCGAACGGUAACAGGAAGCAGCUUGCUGCUUCGCUGACGAGUGGCGGACGGGUGAGUAAUGUCUGGGAAACUGCCUGAUGGAGGGGGAUAACUACUGGAAACGGUAGCUAAUACCGCAUAACGUCGCAAGACCAAAGAGGGGGACCUUCGGGCCUCUUGCCAUCGGAUGUGCCCAGAUGGGAUUAGCUAGUAGGUGGGGUAACGGCUCACCUAGGCGACGAUCCCUAGCUGGUCUGAGAGGAUGACCAGCCACACUGGAACUGAGACACGGUCCAGACUCCUACGGGAGGCAGCAGUGGGGAAUAUUGCACAAUGGGCGCAAGCCUGAUGCAGCCAUGCCGCGUGUAUG